AUCCAGCUGACGAGUCCCAAAUAGGACAAAAUGCGGGUCCUGGAU
RNAcentral lists this non-coding RNA (45 nucleotides) under Schistosoma mansoni. Lineage: Eukaryota; Metazoa; Platyhelminthes; Trematoda; Strigeidida; Schistosomatidae. The record is from RNAcentral.